Molecule: long non-coding RNA, 469 nt
Organism: Bombus terrestris (buff-tailed bumblebee)
Lineage: Eukaryota; Metazoa; Arthropoda; Insecta; Hymenoptera; Apidae
Exons: 2
Source: RefSeq, a predicted model, not a curated record
CAUCGAGGGAGUUCGUUCUUCCCCGGGGGCGGUGUCGUCUAUAUACGGUACAUUAUAUUCUAGUUAGAGCAAGAACUCCGGGGGAAGAUUCAGUUUCAAAGUGGGCCACCACCGGGGCGCGUAAUAACGAAACGGCGGAGGAAAAGUUUUCGCUAAACUGCUUCGGUCGAAAUACAAAUCGUUGGUCGGUCGAAAGCAAACCGCAUAGACACCACCAGUUUCUAUAUUUCCCUGGUGUGAUUCUGUUAUCUCGUUCGAACCACUUCACGUUCGUUAAUUCUCUGUCUGUAUCAUUCUUCAAAUGACCUAAUUUCAAUUAAUCCAUUAAGACCAACGUUACGUUAACACGACAAUUUAUUUGCUAUCUUUUUCUUCAGUCAAGAUACAUUAUCAAAUUCUAUUUUUUAGUAUUGCGACUAUGAAAGGAAGUGGGUUAAAGUGAAACACGAACAUGAUGUAGGAGGUACUA